This 214-nucleotide ribosomal RNA is filed under the name Tethya sp. 2 JV-2020. RNAcentral describes it as "partial large subunit ribosomal RNA". It matches the Rfam family "Eukaryotic large subunit ribosomal RNA", at positions 727 to 930 of the family's 3401-position model. Lineage: Eukaryota; Metazoa; Porifera; Demospongiae; Tethyida; Tethyidae. The record is from RNAcentral.
CUGCUCAGGCAGGAGCCCCCCCUCCCAAAAGGGGGCGCACUGUCGACCGAUCCCAGGCUACGCUGUGGCGGGAUUUGAGUAAGAGCGUGCCUGUUGCGACCCGAAAGAUGGUGAACUAUGCCUGAAUAGGGUGAAGCCAGAGGAAACUCUGGUGGAAGCUCGUAGCGAUUCUGACGUGCAAAUCGAUCGUCAAAUUUGGGUAUAGGGCGAAAGA